RNAcentral lists this non-coding RNA (629 nucleotides) under Pongo abelii (Sumatran orangutan). The record is from RNAcentral. Lineage: Eukaryota; Metazoa; Chordata; Mammalia; Primates; Hominidae.
GUAACUGGUAAAUGAAUUUCAUUUGCUUAACUUUUAAAUGAUAUGUUUCAGACAAAAAAAAAAGUUGUACACCCACUUAUCUCUUUAAAGCAGAGGAUGAAAAGCAUUGAAUAGGUAGGAUUCUUAAUGUCUGAGAUGAAGGUGAUGUAGGAGGCAAACAAUACGGUUAAAAAUGUUGAGUCGACCCAAACAGAAAGACCAGGUUUCAAUCCAGACUCUGCGGCUUACUGAGAAUAUGAUCUUGAGUAAACUGCUUGACCUUCCUGAGCCUCAGCUUUCUUACUUGUUAAAUGGACUUUAACAAUAUCUGUUAGGACUGUGGUGAGGAUGAAAUCAGGGAAAUCAGUCACAGCAGUGCUCUCCUGGCACAGUAAUGUCUUACAAUAACAGAAUGCAGGAGAGCACAUAUCAAUGAAGAAAAGACAAAAUGUAUUUAUCCAUGAAGCUGAGGUUAAGAAACCAGUGUCUUCAAGAGCCGGGGACAGCACUGGGUCUGUGCAGAGUUGAGAGAUGGUGAUGACAUGUGGUUUCCAGCAUUCCUGGCCCAGUCCAGGGACACUGUGGGUGUGCCCAGCUUAAGUCCAGUAACUGGAAAUACAAGCCCAAGUUCUGGAGAGUUUGAGCUGCAG